UACGUAGGGUGCGAGCGUUAAUCGGAAUUACUGGGCGUAAAGCGUGCGCAGGCGGUUUUGUAAGCCAGAUGUGAAAGCCCCGGGCUCAACCUGGGAAUGGCAUUUGGGACUGCAAGGCUGGAGUAUGGCAGAGGAGACUAGAAUUCCUGGUGUAGCAGUGAAAUGCGUAGAUAUCAGGAGGAAUACCGAUGGCGAAGGCAGGUCUCUGGGCCAAUACUGACGCUCAUGCACGAAAGCGUGGGGAGCAAACAGG
This 253-nucleotide ribosomal RNA is filed under the name uncultured bacterium. Its description in RNAcentral is "partial 16S ribosomal RNA". It matches the Rfam family "Bacterial small subunit ribosomal RNA", at positions 524 to 776 of the family's 1533-position model. The record is from RNAcentral.